RNAcentral lists this ribosomal RNA (495 nucleotides) under Klebsiella pneumoniae. RNAcentral's name for it is "partial 23S ribosomal RNA". It matches the Rfam family "Bacterial large subunit ribosomal RNA", at positions 2448 to 2925 of the family's 2925-position model. The record is from RNAcentral. Lineage: Bacteria; Pseudomonadati; Pseudomonadota; Gammaproteobacteria; Enterobacterales; Enterobacteriaceae.
CUCAACGGAUAAAAGGUACUCCGGGGAUAACAGGCUGAUACCGCCCAAGAGUUCAUAUCGACGGCGGUGUUUGGCACCUCGAUGUCGGCUCAUCACAUCCUGGGGCUGAAGUAGGUCCCAAGGGUAUGGCUGUUCGCCAUUUAAAGUGGUACGCGAGCUGGGUUUAGAACGUCGUGAGACAGUUCGGUCCCUAUCUGCCGUGGGCGCUGGAGAAUUGAGGGGGGCUGCUCCUAGUACGAGAGGACCGGAGUGGACGCAUCACUGGUGUUCGGGUUGUCAUGCCAAUGGCACUGCCCGGUAGCUAAAUGCGGAAGAGAUAAGUGCUGAAAGCAUCUAAGCACGAAACUUGCCCCGAGAUGAGUUCUCCCUGAGACUUUAAGUCUCCUGAAGGAACGUUAAAGACGAUGACGUUGAUAGGCCGGGUGUGUAAGCGCAGCGAUGCGUUGAGCUAACCGGUACUAAUGAACCGUGAGGCUUAACCUUACAACGCCGAAG